UGCCGCGAGCAGUUGACGCUGAGUGUCCGGUUCCGGACCGGACGUGACCGUGUGCGCUGGAUGGUUCGAUUCCGUUCGCUCCGA
RNAcentral lists this transfer RNA (84 nucleotides) under Streptomyces griseomycini. RNAcentral describes it as "tRNA-Arg". Lineage: Bacteria; Bacillati; Actinomycetota; Actinomycetes; Kitasatosporales; Streptomycetaceae. The record is from RNAcentral.